AAUAAAUGAAACUGCUUUCUUUGCUCUGUGGAGAUAAGCGAUUUCACUCCCCAGUCUGAACGGCAUGGCAGUGAUGAACAGCUGUGAAUGAAUCAAGUACAGGGUAAAUAUACAAGACAACAAAUGAUUUUUAAGCUCAAUAGCCCAUGAACAAUAACUGUAAUUAAACUCAAUAAAGAACAAGAAAAGAGAAAAGAUGCAGAGUGGAAAAAAACAAAACAAAAAAACUACCCCAAAGAAAAAGCCCCACCACAACAGCUAAACCUGGAAAGACUGAAAGAAACCAGCAGAGCACCGGAGAAUUGCUGAGGCCACUCUGCUUUUCAUUCACCAGGAAGACCAUGUGAGAACACAGUGAGAUGGUGACCAUCUGCAACACAAGGAGAGAGGUCUCGCCAGAAACCAACCCUGAAGGCACCUAGAACUUAGACCUCCAGUCUCCAGAACUAUCUUGAAUAAAUGAAAUUG
Molecule: long non-coding RNA, 468 nt
Organism: Myotis davidii
Lineage: Eukaryota; Metazoa; Chordata; Mammalia; Chiroptera; Vespertilionidae
Exons: 4
Source: RefSeq, a predicted model, not a curated record